GCCGUGAUCGUAUAGUGGUUAGUACAUUACGUAGUGGCCGCAAUAACCAAGGUUGGAAUCCUGGUCACGGCA
Non-coding RNA from Nematostella vectensis (starlet sea anemone), 72 nucleotides. The record is from Rfam. NCBI's taxonomy places the organism in Eukaryota, Metazoa, Cnidaria, Anthozoa, Actiniaria, Edwardsiidae.